Molecule: ribosomal RNA, 427 nt
Filed under: uncultured archaeon
Lineage: Archaea
Description: bacterial SSU rRNA
Rfam family: Archaeal small subunit ribosomal RNA
Source: RNAcentral
UUAAGCCAUGCGAGUCGAACGAGUUUAGGCUCGUGGCGUACGGCUCAGUAACACGUGGAUAACCUACCCUUAGGACUGGGAUAACCCUGGGAAACUGGGGAUAAUACUAGAUAGGCAAUUUUUCCUGGAAUGGUUUUUUGUUUAAAUGUUUUUUCGCCUAAGGAUGGGUCUGCGGCCGAUUAGGUAGUUGGUUAGGUAACGGCUUACCAAGCCAUUGAUCGGUACGGGUUGUGAGAGCAAGAGCCCGGAGAUGGAACCUGAGACAAGGUUCCAGGCCCUACGGGGUGCAGCAGGCGCGAAACCUCCGCAAUGUGAGAAAUCGCGACGGGGGGAUCCCAAGUGCCAUUCUUAACGGGAUGGCUUUUCAUUAGUGUAAAGAGCUUUUGGAAUAAGGGCUGGGCAAGACCGGUGCCAGCCGCCGCGGUAA